Cryptotermes secundus is the source of this 613-nucleotide long non-coding RNA. RefSeq lists it as uncharacterized. The record is from RefSeq and is a predicted model, not a curated record. Lineage: Eukaryota; Metazoa; Arthropoda; Insecta; Blattodea; Kalotermitidae. The transcript has 3 exons.
GGACAAGAACACUCACCAUUGCGGGUGCUACCCGACUUGUGAGAGCGAUGAGUACGCCAUUGAGGAGACUGACACUAUUAACGGGACUGCAGAUUUUGGCAACACUGCUGUCGCAUUUCAGGUGGAGAACUACCCAACCGUCAGAAUGAAGCGAGACAUCCUAUUUACAUUACCUGACAUGCUUGUGGCAUUCGGUGGAGCUGCAGCUUUCUUCCUUGGCUGUAGCGUGCUCAGUGUGGUAGAGGUGUUUUAUUACCUCACUCUGCGCCUCUUCUUCCAUUUACAUGACGUUCAUCACUCCCGACGGGUACACGACCAACACAACGCAAAAACGUUAGUGUCUAGAUACUAAUGACUACUAUAUCCAGAGAUAUCACCUUCAUGUUUUUAGUACUAUCGAUUUUGUGUGCGCCGAGGUACUUACAAAUUCUGUGUGCAAUAAAUGUAUGUAAGGCUCCUUCAUCCAACUUUAUCCAAUUAACUCACUAACUCACCAAUAAACUCUUUGCCUCACUAACUUGACUAACUGACUCCUCAUUAACUGUCCUGCUUAUAACAUCUCGGCACAGACCGCACAAAAAAAAAAAUUUCAUUACUGCCGUGGAAACAUGCU